GAUGAACGCUGGCGGCGUGCCUAAUACAUGCAAGUCGAGCGAACAGACGAGGAGCUUGCUCCUCUGACGUUAGCGGCGGACGGGUGAGUAACACGUGGAUAACCUACCUAUAAGACUGGGAUAACUUCGGGAAACCGGAGCUAAUUCCGGAUAAUAUAUCGAACCGCAUGGUUCAAUAGUGAAAGACGGUUUUGCUGUCACUUAUAGAUGGAUCCGCGCCACAUUAGCUCGUUUGUAAGGUAACUGCUGACCAAGGCAAGUAUGCUUAGCCGACCUGAGAGGAUGAUCGACCACACUCGAACUGGGCCACGUUCCAGACUCCUACGGGAAGCAGCAGUAGGGAAUCUUACGCAAUGGGCGCAAGCCUUACAGAGCCACGCCGCGCGAGUGAUGUAGGUCUUCGGAUCCUAAAACUCUGUUAUUAGGGAAGAACAAGUGUGUAAGUAACUAUGCGCGUCUUGACGGUACCUUGUCAGAAAGCCACGGCUAACUACGUC
This 497-nucleotide ribosomal RNA is filed under the name uncultured bacterium. Its description in RNAcentral is "partial 16S ribosomal RNA". It matches the Rfam family "Bacterial small subunit ribosomal RNA", at positions 28 to 507 of the family's 1533-position model. The record is from RNAcentral.